This 468-nucleotide ribosomal RNA is filed under the name uncultured bacterium. RNAcentral's name for it is "partial 16S ribosomal RNA". It matches the Rfam family "Bacterial small subunit ribosomal RNA", at positions 28 to 507 of the family's 1533-position model. The record is from RNAcentral.
GACGAACGCUGGCGGCGUGCUUAACACAUGCAAGUCGAACGGAAAGGCCCUGCUUUUGUGGGGUGCUCGAGUGGCGAACGGGUGAGUAACACGUGAGUAACCUGCCCUUGACUUUGGGAUAACUUCAGGAAACUGGGGCUAAUACCGGAUAGGAGCUCCUGCUGCAUGGUGGGGGUUGGAAAGUUUCGGCGGUUGGGGAUGGACUCGCGGCUUAUCAGCUUGUUGGUGGGGUAGUGGCUUACCAAGGCUUUGACGGGUAGCCGGCCUGAGAGGGUGACCGGCCACAUUGGGACUGAGAUACGGCACAGACUCCUACGGGAGGCAGCAGUGGGGAAGAUUGCACAAUGGGCUGAAGCCUGAUGCAGCAAAGCCGCGUGCGGGAUGACGGCCUUCGGGUUGUAAACCGCUUUCGCCUGUGACGAAGCGUGAGUGACGGUAAUGGGUAAAGAAGCACCGGCUAACUACGUG